AUUGAACGCUGGCGGCAUGCCUUACACAUGCAAGUCGAACGGCAGCACGGGAGCAAUCCUGGUGGCGAGUGGCGAACGGGUGAGUAACAUAUCGGAACGUGCCCAGUAGUGGGGGAUAACCCGGCGAAAGCCGGACUAAUACCGCAUACGACCUACGGGUGAAAGCAGGGGAUCGCAAGACCUUGCGCUAUCGGAGCGGCCGAUAUCAGAUUAGCUUGUUGGUGGGGUAAAAGCCUACCAAGGCGACGAUCUGUAGCUGGUCUGAGAGGGUGUCCGGCCACACUGGGACUGAGAUACGGCCCAGACUCCUACGGGAGGCAGCAGUGGGGAAUAUUGCACAAUGGGCGCAAGCCUGAUGCAGCGACGCCGCGUGGGGGAUGACGGCCUCGGGUUGUAACCGUCUUUCUAGCAGGGACGAAGGGU
RNAcentral lists this ribosomal RNA (423 nucleotides) under uncultured bacterium. RNAcentral describes it as "bacterial SSU rRNA". It matches the Rfam family "Bacterial small subunit ribosomal RNA", at positions 29 to 453 of the family's 1533-position model. The record is from RNAcentral.